This 691-nucleotide long non-coding RNA is filed under the name Malus domestica (apple). RNAcentral's name for it is "long non-coding RNA (MDOM_LNC000027)". Lineage: Eukaryota; Viridiplantae; Streptophyta; Magnoliopsida; Rosales; Rosaceae. The record is from RNAcentral.
AAUUCAAUCAAAUGGACCAAUAGUUGUAAUAGGACCAAAAUUGUUUUAAUAAAGAUUAAAAUGAAUAUUUAUAUAUGAUGAGACCUAAAACCCUCAACCAAACCAUUAUUAAGUUGAUAAGCGAGAGAUGCUUUGAACAUCUCUUCGUAGGCCUUCCACCAUGGUAGGCUUCAAUCGUUUGUGACUCAUACACUGUAUUCGUCCAGUUCUGGGGUAUGCAAAGUAUGUGCUUACAUUCAGAAGAAGCCUAUAAACAUAUGAUGAAGUGAAAGGUAGGCAACGAGUAUGGUCAAUAUGAUAUUCUUCUGAGGCCAUUCUUGAACCCCUACUUGAACUAGUAUGGUGGGAAUGACUUAACUAAGUACAAUGGUGUCAAUAUGAUAUUCUUCUGAGGCAUCAUUUUCUAGAGGCCAAAUUAGAUGGAUAAUUACAAAAGUUGUAAAUGGCUAAAGCGUUAUCCUCUCAUCAUUAUUGUUGCUAGCCAAUAUGAUAUUCUUCUGAGGUGGGCUUGGUAAUGGUGAGUCUCCCAUACCCUACUAAGAGUUUCAUCCAAAACUCUCAAAUUCCAAUGAGGGAUAUGGAAUUUGCCAAAAAUAGUGGGUGGUGCUAUUUGAUUUAAAGACCCGAAUCAAAUGGCUUAUAAUCAAUCAAUUUAUAUUCGUUAUGUAUUUAUUUACCAAUAUAUUUGCAA